CGUUCGGUGGUUUUGGCGAGGGGGAAACACCCGGUCCCAUUCCGAACCCGGAAGUUAAGCCUCUCAGCGCCGAUGGUACUGCAUGGGAGACUGUGUGGGAGAGUAGGACACCGCCGGACUU
This 121-nucleotide ribosomal RNA is filed under the name Actinomadura madurae. Lineage: Bacteria; Bacillati; Actinomycetota; Actinomycetes; Streptosporangiales; Thermomonosporaceae. The record is from RNAcentral.